UUGUACUAUCAAUGCGCGGAUCCGCGGGUAACCCGGUUCGGAUUCGCUGCGCGGACGCGCCACUGACUCAGCCGUUAUCAGAACCUGAGAGAAAGAAACAACAUCCACCUGUUGUCUGUGGAUUUCACUUUUUGACGAGCGCAGUAGGAAAGUUAGCGACAGAAGCAGCUGACGUGAUGAAGACGAUGUGAGGUCAGGAGUCAGGAUAACUCCAUCUCUUGAGAUGACAUCAGGACUCUGUCCUUCUGCUGAAUGUCCCCAUCAGGAGCC
Long non-coding RNA from Boleophthalmus pectinirostris (great blue-spotted mudskipper), 270 nucleotides. RefSeq lists it as uncharacterized. The record is from RefSeq and is a predicted model, not a curated record. The transcript is spliced from 3 exons. NCBI's taxonomy places the organism in Eukaryota, Metazoa, Chordata, Actinopteri, Gobiiformes, Gobiidae.